CUGUGUUCCUAUGUCUCCCAGUGUCCCCAUGUCACUUAGACACUAGGGGACAUUGAGAGACAUGGGGACACUGGGAGACAUGGGGGCACU
Pelobates cultripes (western spadefoot toad) is the source of this 90-nucleotide non-coding RNA. The record is from the annotation of a GenBank genome assembly. Lineage: Eukaryota; Metazoa; Chordata; Amphibia; Anura; Pelobatidae.